GGGUCGAUGCCCGAGCGGUUAAUGGGGGCGGACUGUAAAUCCGUUGGCUAAGCCUACGCUGGUUCAAAUCCAGCUCGGCCCA
Molecule: transfer RNA, 82 nt
Filed under: Scytonema millei VB511283
Lineage: Bacteria; Bacillati; Cyanobacteriota; Cyanophyceae; Nostocales; Scytonemataceae
Also listed under: 1 other name
Description: tRNA-Tyr
Rfam family: tRNA
About the family: Transfer RNA (tRNA) molecules are approximately 80 nucleotides in length. Their secondary structure includes four short double-helical elements and three loops (D, anti-codon, and T loops).
Source: RNAcentral